This 432-nucleotide ribosomal RNA is filed under the name uncultured bacterium. RNAcentral's name for it is "partial 16S ribosomal RNA". It matches the Rfam family "Bacterial small subunit ribosomal RNA", at positions 29 to 506 of the family's 1533-position model. The record is from RNAcentral.
AACGAACGCUGGCGGCAGGCCUAACACAUGCAAGUCGAGCGAGGACUUCGGUCCUAGCGGCGGACGGGUGAGUAACGCGUGGGAACGUGCCCUUUGCUUCGGAAUAGCCCUGGGAAACUGGGAGUAAUACCGGAUGAGCCCUUUGGGGGAAAGAUUUAUCGGCGAAGGAUCGGCCCGCGUUGGAUUAGGUAGUUGGUGGGGUAAUGGCCUACCAAGCCGACGAUCCAUAGCUGGUUUGAGAGGAUGAUCAGCCACACUGGGACUGAGACACGGCCCAGACUCCUACGGGAGGCAGCAGUGGGGAAUCUUAGACAAUGGGGGAAACCCUGAUCUAGCCAUGCCGCGUGAGCGAUGAAGGCCUUAGGGUUGUAAAGCUCUUUCAGCGGGGAAGAUAAUGACGGUACCAGCAGAAGAGACCCCGGCUAACUCCGU